CAGAAGAGGGUGUGAAUACUUUGGAGGCACAAGGUAGUAGUGAAUUAGAGAUGAAACUGGAAAUACUGGAAAGGAUCAGUUACGUUAUUGUAUUGAGUUCUUAAAUUGUGUUUUCAUUCGCAGAUUCAGCAACAAAAAUGUGCAAAGGCCUAUACUUUUGGCAACAUUCUCUAAUGAGACGUUUUUGCUGCAGGAUAGAGCAAAACCAGGGGAUAAGGCAAAAUCUGAAAGUAUGUCACACGGUCUGGAGUUCUGUCUGGCUCGAGAGCGACUUUGAACAGGUCAUGGAUAUCUCAAAGCAGUUUUGAUGGCUUGGACUACAUGGUUGGAAGAGCCUGGUCGGUUGGUGUUCCUUGUAAAAAUGGAUAGCAGGGUGGUGGCGAAAGUCUGUCCUGCUAGUUGAUGGUGUGGAGACCAUUGUUGGGCAUGGCUGCGGGUGGCUCCAAGUGUGCGUGGCCAGGGGAUUACUGGUGCCAUCCAGAGACAUAUGACAGAUUAUGUCUGCAGUCACUUUCCACAGGUCACUUGCCCGAAGACUGUGCCGAGGAGACGACCCAUCGUCUGAAAAACUGUCCAGAUAUCGCCUGUUGGCCAAAGAGGGCAUUCUUUGUUUGUUUUGUGAGGUAGGUGAAAUAGGACCUUUACUUGAGGAACUACAACAGAGACUCGAACAAGAGUACAAGGCUGAGGCCUUCAACCCAGUGACUCUGAGCCAAGCAGAGGAAGAAAAAGCAGUGCUGAGCACAAAUGUGGUUGCAAACCUACUGCCUGGUGGAGGCCAACCUGGAAGUGCUUCACAGGAAGGGGCUGACCUGGGUAGAGACUGCCCACUCAGGCCCAAUGCCCUCAGUCUCUGCACCAUACCAUACCCAGUGCCCUACCGCCACGUUGCCCUCCAUUUUAACAACAUCUUUGGUCACAGCCUUGAUUCAGUCUGUGCUGUGUUCCUGGCACAGCUUAGAAACCUGCUCUCAUGCUUGAGUGGAUAUCUCAUCUUCUAUACCUAUGUGCACCCCAGUAUCUGGCCUGGGCUAAAGCAGUUUUGUCAGAACUCUUCCAAUGUCAUGUUCUUCAAGGAUUAUUGGGAGGAGCUUUUGGUGGAGACGGACCUUUAACAAUAUCUGGAGCUGGAGGGAACACAAUGUGUCGUUGAGCAUUCAUGGUCAUAUAAUAACGCCAUAAAUUCAAAAGCUAUAUCUACAUGCUGAAUUCAAAAGCUAUAUCUACAUGCUGAAUUCCAAACCAGGCCUUUAGCCAAAAUGUCAGACAAUGUAUUUAAUAUAUUCAUGUCCUUUAUACUGUAUAUUGUGUUUUAUGGUUUAUUUGUAUUAUGAUUUUAUUAUGGCAAAUAUAAACUGUUGUCUGUCUAAAUAGGAUCUCCUGCAAAAUAGGGCAGUUUUAUAUGACUCAUGGUACUCUGUUUUUCUAUUUUUUUAUACAAGGCAAGGUUUGUCUGUUUAUGAUCUCACAUGAUCUCACCUCAUAAGAACUGGGUUGUAGCAUCAGCAAUUUCUGCCUCUCUCAAUAAAUACAUUAAAUUGUG
This is a long non-coding RNA of Coregonus clupeaformis (lake whitefish), 1543 nucleotides long. RefSeq lists it as uncharacterized. The record is from RefSeq and is a predicted model, not a curated record. The transcript is spliced from 3 exons. NCBI's taxonomy places the organism in Eukaryota, Metazoa, Chordata, Actinopteri, Salmoniformes, Salmonidae.